This 492-nucleotide ribosomal RNA is filed under the name uncultured bacterium. RNAcentral's name for it is "partial 16S ribosomal RNA". It matches the Rfam family "Bacterial small subunit ribosomal RNA", at positions 29 to 507 of the family's 1533-position model. The record is from RNAcentral.
AGUGAACGCUGGCGGUAGGCCUAACACAUGCAAGUCGAACGGCAGCACAGUAAGAGCUUGCUCUUACGGGUGGCGAGUGGCGGACGGGUGAGGAAUACAUCGGAAUCUACUUUUUCGUGGGGGAUAACGUAGGGAAACUUACGCUAAUACCGCAUACGACCUACGGGUGAAAGCAGGGGAUCUUCGGACCUUGCGCGAUUGCAUGAGCCGAUGUCGGAUUAGCUAGUUGGCGGGGUAAAGGCCCACCAAGGCGACGAUCCGUAGCUGGUCUGAGAGGAUGAUCAGCCACACUGGAACGGAGACACGGUCCAGACUCCUACGGGAGGCAGCAGUGGGGAAUAUUGGACAAUGGGCGCAAGCCUGAUCCAGCCAUACCGCGUGGGUGAAGAAGGCCUUCGGGUUGUAAAGCCCUUUUGUUGGGAAAGAAAAGCAGCAGGUUAAUACCCCGCUGUUCUGACGGUACCCAAAGAAUAAGCACCGGCUAACUUCGUG